GAUGAACGCUGGCGGCGUGCUUAAUACAUGCAAGUCGAACGAAGAGCCUUUGUAGCAAUACGAGGGUUUCUUAGUGGCGAACGGGUGCGUAACGCGUUGGUGACCUGCCCCGAAGUGUGGGAUAACAGUUCGAAAGGACUGCUAAUACCGCAUGUGGACACGAGGGUUAGAGGCUUUGUGUCUAAAGCAGUAAUGCGCUUUGGGAGGGACCUGCGUCCCAUCAGUUAGUUGGUGAGGUAACGGCUCACCAAGGCGUCGACGGGUAAGGGACCUGAGAGGGUGGUCCCUCACAAUGGCACUGAAACACGGGCCAUACACCUACGGGAGGCAG
This 331-nucleotide ribosomal RNA is filed under the name uncultured Chloroflexota bacterium. RNAcentral's name for it is "bacterial SSU rRNA". It matches the Rfam family "Bacterial small subunit ribosomal RNA", at positions 28 to 351 of the family's 1533-position model. Lineage: Bacteria; Bacillati; Chloroflexota. The record is from RNAcentral.